UAACGGGUGGAGCUGACUGGUACUAAUAGGCCGAGGGCUUGUCCUCAGUUG
This 51-nucleotide ribosomal RNA is filed under the name Streptomyces sp. WM6378. RNAcentral's name for it is "partial 23S ribosomal RNA". Lineage: Bacteria; Bacillati; Actinomycetota; Actinomycetes; Kitasatosporales; Streptomycetaceae. The record is from RNAcentral. RNAcentral also lists the same sequence under 2 other names.